This 1434-nucleotide ribosomal RNA is filed under the name uncultured bacterium. RNAcentral describes it as "bacterial SSU rRNA". It matches the Rfam family "Bacterial small subunit ribosomal RNA". The record is from RNAcentral.
AGAGUUUGAUCCUGGCUCAGGAUGAACGCCGACGGUGUGCCUAAUACAUGCAAGUCGUACGCACUGGCCCAACUGAUUGAUGGUGCUUGCACCUGAUUGACGUUGGAUCACCAGUGAGUGGCGGACGGGUGAGUAACACGUAGGUAACCUGCCCCGGAGCGGGGGAUAACAUUUGGAAACAGAUGCUAAUACCGCAUAACAACAAAAGCCACAUGGCUUUUGUUUGAAAGAUGGAUUUGGCUAUCACUCUGGGAUAGACCUGCGGUGCAUUAGCUAGUUGGUAAGGUAACGGCUUACCAAGGCGAUGAUGCAUAGCCGAGUUGAGAGACUGAUCGGCCACAAUGGAACUGAGACACGGUCCAUACUCCUACGGGAGGCAGCAGUAGGGAAUCUUCCACAAUGGGCGCAAGCCUGAUGGAGCAACACCGCGUGAGUGAAGAAGGGUUUCGGCUCGUAAAGCUCUGUUGUUGGAGAAGAACGUGCGUGAGAGUAACUGUUCACGCAGUGACGGUAUCCAACCAGAAAGUCACGGCUAACUACGUGCCAGCAGCCGCGGUAAUACGUAGGUGGCAAGCGUUAUCCGGAUUUAUUGGGCGUAAAGCGAGCGCAGGCGGUUGCUUAGGUCUGAUGUGAAAGCCUUCGGCUUAACCGAAGAAGUGCAUCGGAAACCGGGCGACUUGAGUGCAGAAGAGGACAGUGGAACUCCAUGUGUAGCGGUGGAAUGCGUAGAUAUAUGGAAGAACACCAGUGGCGAAGGCGGCUGUCUGGUCUGCAACUGACGCUGAGGCUCGAAAGCAUGGGUAGCGAACAGGAUUAGAUACCCUGGUAGUCCAUGCCGUAAACGAUGAGUGCUAGGUGUUGGAGGGUUUCCGCCCUUCAGUGCCGGAGCUAACGCAUUAAGCACUCCGCCUGGGGAGUACGACCGCAAGGUUGAAACUCAAAGGAAUUGACGGGGGCCCGCACAAGCGGUGGAGCAUGUGGUUUAAUUCGAAGCUACGCGAAGAACCUUACCAGGUCUUGACAUCUUGCGCUAACCUUAGAGAUAAGGCGUUCCCUUCGGGGACGCAAUGACAGGUGGUGCAUGGUCGUCGUCAGCUCGUGUCGUGAGAUGUUGGGUUAAGUCCCGCAACGAGCGCAACCCUUGUUACUAGUUGCCAGCAUUAAGUUGGGCACUCUAGUGAGACUGCCGGUGACAAACCGGAGGAAGGUGGGGACGACGUCAGAUCAUCAUGCCCCUUAUGACCUGGGCUACACACGUGCUACAAUGGACGGUACAACGAGUCGCAAGCUCGCGAGAGUAAGCUAAUCUCUUAAAGCCGUUCUCAGUUCGGACUGUAGGCUGCAACUCGCCUACACGAAGUCGGAAUCGCUAGUAAUCGCGGAUCAGCAUGCCGCGGUGAAUACGUUCCCGGGCCUUGCACACACCGCCCGUCA